GCCAGGCUGGCUCAGUCAGGGGAGCAUGUGACUCUUGAUCUCGGGGUUGUGGGUUCAAGCCCCAUGUUAGGUG
Molecule: transfer RNA, 73 nt
Filed under: Ailuropoda melanoleuca (giant panda)
Lineage: Eukaryota; Metazoa; Chordata; Mammalia; Carnivora; Ursidae
Rfam family: tRNA
About the family: Transfer RNA (tRNA) molecules are approximately 80 nucleotides in length. Their secondary structure includes four short double-helical elements and three loops (D, anti-codon, and T loops).
Source: Rfam by way of RNAcentral